GGAUCGUGGGCGGCAUGGGCGACCGCGGCGGACUGUAAAUCCGUUCUCCCUCGGGACACCACCUGGUUCGAACCCAGGACGAUCCACCA
RNAcentral lists this transfer RNA (89 nucleotides) under Hydrogenophaga sp. Its description in RNAcentral is "tRNA-Tyr". The record is from RNAcentral. Lineage: Bacteria; Pseudomonadati; Pseudomonadota; Betaproteobacteria; Burkholderiales; Comamonadaceae.